GCGGACGUAGCUCAGUUGGUAGAGCGCAACCUUGCCAAGGUUGAGGUCGCCAGUUCGAACCUGGUCGUCCGCUCGU
RNAcentral lists this transfer RNA (76 nucleotides) under Streptomyces turgidiscabies Car8. RNAcentral's name for it is "tRNA-Gly". It matches the Rfam family "tRNA". From Rfam's summary of the family: Transfer RNA (tRNA) molecules are approximately 80 nucleotides in length. The record is from RNAcentral. Lineage: Bacteria; Bacillati; Actinomycetota; Actinomycetes; Kitasatosporales; Streptomycetaceae.